UGGUAAUGGUAUGAUUUUGCUCUAAAUAG
This 29-nucleotide small RNA is filed under the name Bombyx mori (domestic silkworm). RNAcentral describes it as "ovarian small RNA-35081". Lineage: Eukaryota; Metazoa; Arthropoda; Insecta; Lepidoptera; Bombycidae. The record is from RNAcentral.